Molecule: long non-coding RNA, 1882 nt
Organism: Pygoscelis adeliae (Adelie penguin)
Lineage: Eukaryota; Metazoa; Chordata; Aves; Sphenisciformes; Spheniscidae
Exons: 2
Source: RefSeq, a predicted model, not a curated record
AUGUAUUUUUCAGCCUCUGCCACGUCUUCGAAUAUCCCUAUGUAAAAAUCACUUUUUGGUAUCUCGCGCAGCAAUUGAGAAAGAGGUGACUCAUCCAGCUGGAAAUACUCCUACUCAAACGGGCACUUGCCAUAAAAGAAACAUUCCCUGAAGUGACCAUCUGUCUUGACUUCAGCACAGCCAACAGCUUCCCCGUGUAAGGCUAGCAGAGUUUGAUCUACAUUUUAACUGCCACGACAGUUUAAUCUCUUAACAGGUCAUUUGUUGGGUAAAGGCAUUGUGCGGUGGAAGUGCAGAAUAGAUCUAAUACAACCUGUAUUCCUCCACCCUGAAGAGAAAAAAUCGUGUACUCUGUAGCACCCAACAGUAAAAACAACAUCUGCGACGUUCGAACCAGCUGUCCACGCGGUGCUUAGGUGAUCGUAGAAGGACAUGCACGUAGUAAGGUUACGUAGCAUCGAAUUCAUGACAACACUGAAGGACUGCUCAAGGCCUAUGAACUAUUUCAGACCUUCAAAUGAGUUGCAAGUUUAUUUCUCAUUUUCUCACCCCAGCUAAACAAAAACAAAGUUUCAGGACUACAGAGGGAGCCUGUCCGUGCUGGAAUUAAUGUCGUUAACGUCACUGAAAAUAACAGCGUUAAAGAUCAACAUCACUUAACCUGGUGUCACAGGCUCCUCAGCUGAAUUACUUCCAUGCCGAUAUAUUCUUAGAUUAUGCCUGAUCAGAAAUGGCGGAGAAAAAUUGAAGUUUAGCUGUCAGGGAUUUAAGAUGUAGGAGCAAAAAUACAAUGGGUGUAAAGGUUGUGGACAAUUUGGCGCAUCAUAAAUUGUGCUCUCACUCCUAUAAACGUAGCUUGGAGUAGGUGGAAUGUGCUUGUACUGGGUGACUUUGACAGGAGAUGUGCCCCGCACGCCGAUUUAUUACCUUUGGGUGUGGAUUUGUUGUCUAAGGAUGCAAGCAUGAGACCCAUUUGAACUUUGAGCAAGAACUCACUGGAGAAGAUGAUAACGUUACUCCUCUGUUACAGUCUGGAGCAUCACAUUUCCACCUCCGUGGCUGCAGCAAGAGUGAGGGUCUUUAAACACCAGACAGAGAGAGACGCGUUUCACUACCCUUGGCUAGUCGUGCUGAUGGAACAGAGAACACGUCAUUUAACAAAUGGCAGUGGUGGACUCCGUCUUUAUCGGCUGUCACUACGGAGAUACAAAGCCACUUAGCCCCAAGCACAAGUGUGACACAGGAGUGUACAUCUCUCAGUGGCCGGCGCUAACGCAGGAGGGAACCUCUUGCUGUCCCAGCUGCUCUUGCAGUCCCGUACCUGCGUGGCUGAACACCACUGACCACCUCUCCGAAAGGAAGAAUUUCCAGCUGGAAAUUGUCCAACAGGCCUGGCCAUCAGUGAAUAGGGCUUAGUAUAUAUUCCAGGGUUUAAUACAGAUAUAUUCCAGAGUGGUUUUAGGUUUUAGAGCUCCUCUGACUUGUAUGGAUCCUCUUGGGAAGAAGAAAGAAAAGGACCAUGGCUUAAUAGCUGCCUGCAUCUCUCUGUCCAAAUUUUAACACUUGCUUUGCUUAUAGCUGCCCUUUUUGCACGGAGUAAUCUAUGAAUGUUUAAUAUUGGAAUGUUUUAAUUGCCAGUAAGUGCUCCAUGGUAAGUUACUUCAUGCUGUACUGUGGUAAAGCUGAUGUGCUCAGUGGUUUCUCUGUGGCCUCUGCUACAAUCUGGUUCUCCUGGAGAUGCAAAGCUAGGUCAAAUCCAUGCAACUGCUUUUAAAAAUUAAUGUGCCUGUGCAUCAUCAUGUGUUCUUAAAUCUGUGGGCACUGCUAAAGACUGCAAAAAUAUAAUUCAAAAAUAAAUCUUUCCAUUAAUAUACUGAUUGCC